RNAcentral lists this long non-coding RNA (1036 nucleotides) under Prunus dulcis (almond). RNAcentral describes it as "sRNA ncRNA". Lineage: Eukaryota; Viridiplantae; Streptophyta; Magnoliopsida; Rosales; Rosaceae. The record is from RNAcentral.
CCUUUCUUUUUUUAGUCCAAAUGAAUGCCCCAUGUUUGGUAUGCUUCACUAUGCCUCACUGGACUGGAUUGAGUUAAAUAAUACUUGAAACCCAUGUUUGGUAAGGGAGGGGAUUAUCUUAAAUGAGAUUAUAUAGUCCAAUAGUUAAAAAAAGCCCGGACUCGUACAGCUAAUAUAGUGAACCCAAAAUUGGGUUUGCAAAAUAGGACGCUUGCUGUUUUGAACACGCGAGUCCGACUUCCUUAUCGCUUAACCCCACCACAAAUCCAAUCAACGAAAAACAGUGCCCAACGCUCCAUCCUAGAUUUCUUCUGAGAACGAUCCCAACCGCCAGCAUAACCUAGAACCAUCUCUCUUCGCCAUCUGAGUCCAAUUCGUAGCAGCUCCAAAGAAAAAAAAGAAAAGCAGAAAAUAAUGAAACCAGAAACAGAGAGAAAAAAAAAAAGGAAAUAGGAAGAAAAGAAAAGAAGAAAAAAUCUGGGUCUGUGUACUUUUGAUACUGCUCCUAUUUGGGUACUUUCUUACUUGCUAAUGAUGUUUUGGGGUGUCUAGAAAUCGCUUGAGCUUUGUUGAGUUGGCGUAGUUCAUUUUCAUUCGAAGACAUCCUUCGUUGCGCUCAGACAAUGAAGAUGGCGGUGCUGGAAAAAAUGGAGCCAUCUUGCUACUAUUGCCAAAUUGCUCAUCUUGGAUUACAGGGUAUGAUGCCCUGCUUGGUGGAGACCCACAGAAAAAUGGUGGCGAUGAAGCCAGUUGGUUACUGGAUCUCACCUCACAAUUGAGGAAAGGAAAAAAAAAACAGAACAGAAAGAAAAGAUGGAGAAGAGGAGAAUAAAUAAAAGAGUGAAAAACAAGAAAAAUAAGAAUAAAAUACUAGAAAAAAAAAAAACAGGGAGAGAGAAAUAGAGCUGGCAGGGCCUGAUAGGGGUGGGGCUCUUUAAAAAAAAAAAAUUUUUUUUUUUUUGGGUAACUCUUUUUUAAUAUUCAUUAUUUUAAUAUUUAAAUUAAUUAAAAAUCAAACAUAAAUAAAUAAUUAUAC